Astyanax mexicanus (Mexican tetra) is the source of this 1240-nucleotide long non-coding RNA. RefSeq lists it as uncharacterized. NCBI's taxonomy places the organism in Eukaryota, Metazoa, Chordata, Actinopteri, Characiformes, Acestrorhamphidae. The record is from RefSeq and is a predicted model, not a curated record. The transcript has 3 exons.
GUGUUGAGCUGGUGGUACAGUGAGUGGAUCAGAUGCAGCAGUGAUUAGCAGUGAUUAGCAUGGUGGUGGUGUAUGAGGUGUUAGUGAGUGUUGAGCUGGUGGUACAGUGAGUGGAUCAGAUACAGCAGUGAUUAGCAUGGUGGUGGUGUAUGAGGUGUUAGUGAGUGUUGAGCUGGUACAGUGAGUGGAUCAGAUACAGCAGUGAUUAGCACUGAUUAGCAUGGUGGUGGUGUAUGAGGUGUUAGUGUGUGUUGAGCUGGUGGUACAGUGAGUGGAUCAGAUACAGCAGUGAUUAGUACUGAUUAGCAUGGUGGUGGUGUAUGAGGUGUUAGUGUGUGUUGAGCUGGUGGUACAGUGAGUGGAUCAGAUACAGCAGUGAUUAGCAGUGAUUAGCAUGGUGGUGGUGUAUGAGGUGUUAGUGUGUGUUGAGCUGGUGGUACAGUGAGUGGAUCAGAUACUGCAGUGAUUAGCAUGGUGGUGGUGUAUGAGGUGUUAGUGUGUGUUGAGCUGGUGGUACAGUGAGUGGAUCAGAUACAGCAGUGAUUAGCAUGGUGGUGGUGUAUGAGGUGUUAGUGUGUGUUGAGCUGGUGGUACAGUGAGUGGAUCAGAUACAGCAGUGAUUAGCACUGAUUAGCAUGGUGGUGGUGUAUGAGGUGUUAGUGUGUGUUGAGCUGGUACGGUGAGUGGAUCAGAUACAGCAGUGAUUAGCACUGAUUAGCAUGGUGGUGGUGUAUGAGGUGUUAGUGUGUGUUGAGCUGGUGGUACAGUGAGUGGAUCAGAUACAGCAGUGAUUAGCAUGGUGGUGGUGUAUGAGGUGUUAGUGUGUGUUGAGCUGGUGGUACAGUGAGUGGAUCAGAUACAGCAGUGAUUAGCAGUGAUUAGCAUGGUGGUGGUGUAUGAGGUGUUAGUGAGUGUUGAGCUGGUGGUACAGUGAGUGGAUCAGAUACAGCAGUGAUUAGCAGUGAUUAGCAUGGUGGUGGUGUAUGAGGUGUUAGUGUGUGUUGAGCUGGUGGUACAGUGAGUGGAUCAGAUACUGCAGUGAUUAGCAGUGAUUAGCAUGGUGGUGGUGUAUGAGGUGUUAGUGAGUGUUGAGCUGGUGGUACAGUGAGUGGAUCAGAUACAGCAGUGAUUAGCACUGAUUAGCAUGGUGGUGGUGUAUGAGGUGUUAGUGAGUGUUGAGCUGGUACAGUGAGUGGAUCAGAUACAGCAGUGAUUAGCACUGAUUAGCAUGGUGGUGGUG